RNAcentral lists this ribosomal RNA (253 nucleotides) under uncultured bacterium. RNAcentral describes it as "partial 16S ribosomal RNA". It matches the Rfam family "Bacterial small subunit ribosomal RNA", at positions 524 to 776 of the family's 1533-position model. The record is from RNAcentral.
UACGAAGGGGGCUAGCGUUGCUCGGAAUUACUGGGCGUAAAGCGCACGUAGGCGGCUUGUUAAGUCAGGGGUGAAAUCCUGGAGCUCAACUCCAGAACUGCCUUUGAUACUGGCGAGCUUGAGUUCGGGAGAGGUGAGUGGAACUGCGAGUGUAGAGGUGAAAUUCGUAGAUAUUCGCAAGAACACCAGUAGCGAAGGCGGCUCACUGGCCCGAUACUGACACUCAGGUGCGACAGCGUGGGGAGCAAACAGG